UGGGGAAUUUUGGAUAAUGGGCGAAAGCCUGAUCCAGCAAUGCCGCGUGUGUGAAGAAGGCCUUCGGGUUGUAAACACUUUUGUCCGGAAAGAAAUCCUUGGCUCUAAUACAGUCGGGGGAUGACGGUACCGGAAGAAUAAGCACCGGCUAACUACGUGCCAGCAGCCGCGGUAAUACGUAGGGUGCAAGCGUUAAUCGGAAUUACUGGGCGUAAAGCGUGCGCAGGCGGUUUGCUAAGACCGAUGUGAAAUCCCCGGGCUCAACCUGGGAACUGCAUUGGUGACUGGCAGGCUAGAGUAUGGCAGAGGGGGGUAGAAUUCCACGUGUAGCAGUGAAAUGCGUAGAGAUGUGGAGGAAUACCGAUGGCGAAGGCAGCCCCCUGGGCCAAUACUGACGCUCAUGCACGAAAGCGUGGGGGAGCAAAGCAGGAUUAGAUACCCUGGUAGUCCACGCCCUAAAACGAUGUCAACUAGUUGUUGGGGAUUCAUUUCCUUAGUAACGUAGCUAACGCGUGAAGUUGACCGCCUGGGGAGUACGGUCGCAAGAUUAAAACUCAAAUGAAUUGACGGGGUCAUAGCUG
RNAcentral lists this ribosomal RNA (581 nucleotides) under uncultured bacterium. RNAcentral describes it as "partial 16S ribosomal RNA". It matches the Rfam family "Bacterial small subunit ribosomal RNA", at positions 355 to 932 of the family's 1533-position model. The record is from RNAcentral.